This is a long non-coding RNA of Mangifera indica (mango), 628 nucleotides long. RefSeq lists it as uncharacterized. The transcript is spliced from 5 exons. The record is from RefSeq and is a predicted model, not a curated record. NCBI's taxonomy places the organism in Eukaryota, Viridiplantae, Streptophyta, Magnoliopsida, Sapindales, Anacardiaceae.
UUGUACCGUUACGUGAAGAUUUUCAUUUGCGCCCUCUUUUGGUUUCCUAUUUAAUCAUUCCCUCUUACUUCCUCAUUCAGACGUUCUUGAAAUUUGUUGUCACUGGGAACGCUUUUUCUUGUGCUUUUUUCUUCUCUGUAUCUUAGAUUAUAUGAUUUUGCCCUUCUGCUCUUUUCUGAUCUGUCUCUUCGACUAUAUGAUUUUAAUUCUGUUUCUUUUUCUUAUUUUCAGAUCCAGCAAAAUAUAAACAGGAAUUGAGGGAAGAAUUAAACUCUACAUUUUAAUUUUGUCUCUCAUUCUGCAAGAGGUUGCUAUUCGUAAAUUCACCACUCCUGAUCAAUCUUGAAGACCUAUAUAUUUGACAAAAUUGAAAUAAGCAAUAAUUACGGUAGCAAAUCCUAAAAGACAAUCAAUUCUGAUGGAUCUUGAAGGCUUAUUUAUUGGGCAAUGGGCUUCAUCUAAAUCUCCCGAUUAUUAGACUGCUUGAUUUUAGAUGAGGGAGGACUUAUUCAGUUUCCGUAUAAGACAUCUUCCAGUUCGCUCACUGAAUGAGUUGGUUUUCCACUUCCGAAUCACCCACCUAUUGUAGGAGUUCUUCCCCAACCUUGUUCUUCUGGAAACAGGCAAG